RNAcentral lists this ribosomal RNA (252 nucleotides) under uncultured bacterium. Its description in RNAcentral is "partial 16S ribosomal RNA". It matches the Rfam family "Bacterial small subunit ribosomal RNA", at positions 524 to 776 of the family's 1533-position model. The record is from RNAcentral.
UACGGGGGGGCAAGCGUUGUUCGGAAUUACUGGGCGUAAAGGGCUCGUAGGUGGCCAACUAAGUCAGACGUGAAAUCCCUCGGCUUAACCGGGGAACUGCGUCUGAUACUGGAUGGCUUGAGUUUGGGAGAGGGACGCGGAAUUCCAGGUGUAGCGGUGAAAUGCGUAGAUAUCUGGAGGAACACCGGUGGCGAAGGCGGCGUCCUGGACCAACACUGACACUGAGGAGCGAAAGCGUGGGUAGCGAACAGG